RNAcentral lists this ribosomal RNA (531 nucleotides) under uncultured bacterium. RNAcentral's name for it is "bacterial SSU rRNA". It matches the Rfam family "Bacterial small subunit ribosomal RNA", at positions 338 to 866 of the family's 1533-position model. The record is from RNAcentral.
CCUACGGGAGGCAGCAGUAAGGAAUAUUGGUCAAUGGACGCAAGUCUGAACCAGCCAUGCCGCGUGAAGGAUUAAGGUCCUCUGGAUUGUAAACUUCUUUUAUAUGGGACGAAAACAGAUCUUUCUAGGUCCUUUGACGGUACCAUAUGAAUAAGCACCGGCUAACUCCGUGCCAGCAGCCGCGGUAAUACGGAGGGUGCAAGCGUUAUCCGGAUUCACUGGGUUUAAAGGGUGCGUAGGCGGGUAGGUAAGUCAGUGGUGAAAUCCUGGAGCUCAACUCCAGAACUGCCAUUGAUACUAUCUAUCUUGAAUAUUGUGGAGGUAAGCGGAAUAUGUCAUGUAGCGGUGAAAUGCUUAGAUAUGACAUAGAACACCCAUUGCGAAGGCAGCUUACUACGCAUAUAUUGACGCUGAGGCACGAAAGCGUGGGGAUCAAACAGGAUUAGAUACCCUGGUAGUCCACGACCUAACGACUAGAUACUACGACAUACGCGAUACACAGUGUGUGUGUGAGAGAAGACGAAUUAAGUA